Long non-coding RNA from Biomphalaria glabrata, 902 nucleotides. RefSeq lists it as uncharacterized. The transcript has 3 exons. Lineage: Eukaryota; Metazoa; Mollusca; Gastropoda; Planorbidae. The record is from RefSeq and is a predicted model, not a curated record.
GGGACGACAGCGCGAUCGCACCUCUGUCACAGCGUAGCUACGGAGUACAGCGGCAAGACGUAAAUCUACCUCGACCGUCUUUGGACGUUUUUUCGAGACCCGGAACUAAUUAUAAAAAGAGGCAGUCAAUCUACAGGUCGGCGCUGUAACCGGGACAGGUUCAUUGAGGCGGCUAUCAUUCUUCGGCGGCCCACGGCACUAAAGUGUUUCGUGUUAAUCUCGACGAGAAGGAGACAACUCUGUAUCAACACUGUAGCGGCUUUUAAUUGAACAGACAAGAAAGGAACAAUGGGUUGUCAAGGAUCAAAGUCUACGCAAGCUUCAGCAGGAGGAGCUCAGGGCGGAGAGCCAAGUGAACCCACUCAACAAGAGCAGGCAGCACCCGCAGGGGACGCCACUGAACAGAGGGAUCAGAUGUUUGAGCUUUUGUUCGGCUCUAUCGAGUUGGGAAGAGUCAGGGAUUCUCCUAUAUGAGAACUGAAGCCAGUGAUCUCAUUCUGUACAAAGCACAUGUGAUAUGUAUAAAAUUGACAUUGAUUCUAGUAUAUUAUUAUAAAUCUGCCAACAAUACUACAAGGUCUUCACUUUCUGUACAACUCCCACAUUGAACUCAUUGAAUCCUUAAUAUAUGAACAAGUUACUACUUCAAAAUUUAGAAAAAUAAGUCUUUUUAUUGUGACAUUUUUUUUUCUUUUUUUUUUAUUUUUAGUUGGGGGGGUGAAAACUUCUUUAAAAACAAUAGCAAUAGAACCAUCCAUUUUAUUUAUUAGUAUUUAUUAAAGUUAUUCAUGUAUUUUAUUUUUUUAAUUAUAAUUUUAUCAUAAAAAUUUAUGUCAGUAUUACCAACAUAUGCAAAUUUUUGUGACUUCAAAAAUAAGGCAAUAAAAUAAUUAAAAGAGUUA